GACGAACGCUGGCGGCGUGCCUAAUACAUGCAAGUCGAGCGGGUUUGUUCCUUCGGGGACAAGCUAGCGGCGGACGGGUGAGUAACACGUAGGUAACCUGCCUUCAAGAUCGGGAUAACUUUCGGAAACGAACGCUAAGACCGGAUAGCUGGUUUUCUCGCAUGAGAGAAUCAUGAAACACGGAGCAAUCUGUGGCUUGAAGAUGGGCCUGCGGCGCAUUAGCUAGUUGGUAGGGUAACGGCCUACCAAGGCGACGAUGCGUAGCCGACCUGGGAGGGUGAACGGCCACACUGGGACUGAGACACGGCCCAGACUCCUACGGGAGGCAGCAGUAGGGAAUCUUCCGCAAUGGACGCAAGUCUGACGGAGCAACGCCGCGUGAGUGAUGAAGGUUUUCGGAUCGUAAAGCUCUGUUGCCCUAGACGAACAGCAGGGAGAGUAACUGCUCUCUGUGUGACGGUAUAGGAGAAGAAAGCCCCGGCUAACUACGUGCCAGCAGCCGCAGUAA
This 508-nucleotide ribosomal RNA is filed under the name uncultured bacterium. RNAcentral describes it as "partial 16S ribosomal RNA". It matches the Rfam family "Bacterial small subunit ribosomal RNA", at positions 28 to 523 of the family's 1533-position model. The record is from RNAcentral.